Molecule: non-coding RNA, 27 nt
Filed under: Bombyx mori (domestic silkworm)
Lineage: Eukaryota; Metazoa; Arthropoda; Insecta; Lepidoptera; Bombycidae
Also listed under: 5 other names
Source: RNAcentral
UAGUUGGUGGAGCGAUUUGUCUGGUUA